UACGUAGGGAGCGAGCGUUGUCCGGAUUUACUGGGCGUAAAGGGCGCGUAGGCGGUCUGUUAAGCGUGAAGUGAAAUCUCCAGGGCUCAACCCGGAAACUGCUUUGCGAACUGGCAGACUAGAGGAAGGCAGAGGUGAAUGGAAUUCCUGGUGUAGCGGUGACAUGCAUUGAUAUCAGGAGGAACACCCGUGGCGAAGGCGGUUCACUGGGCCUUAUCUGACGCUGAGGCGCGAAAGCGUGGGUAGCAAACAGGAUUAGAAACCCGAGUAGUCC
This 274-nucleotide ribosomal RNA is filed under the name uncultured bacterium. Its description in RNAcentral is "partial 16S ribosomal RNA". It matches the Rfam family "Bacterial small subunit ribosomal RNA", at positions 524 to 796 of the family's 1533-position model. The record is from RNAcentral.